RNAcentral lists this ribosomal RNA (727 nucleotides) under Streptomyces sp. RNAcentral describes it as "bacterial SSU rRNA". It matches the Rfam family "Bacterial small subunit ribosomal RNA", at positions 137 to 876 of the family's 1533-position model. Lineage: Bacteria; Bacillati; Actinomycetota; Actinomycetes; Kitasatosporales; Streptomycetaceae. The record is from RNAcentral.
UCUGGGACAAGCCCUGGAAACGGGGUCUAAUACCGGAUGACACUUUCUCUCGCAUGGGAGAAGGUUGAAAGCUCCGGCGGUGCAGGAUGAGCCCGCGGCCUAUCAGCUAGUUGGUGAGGUAGAAGCUCACCAAGGCGACGACGGGUAGCCGGCCUGAGAGGGCGACCGGCCACACUGGGACUGAGACACGGCCCAGACUCCUACGGGAGGCAGCAGUGGGGAAUAUUGCACAAUGGGCGAAAGCCUGAUGCAGCGACGCCGCGUGAGGGAUGACGGCCUUCGGGUUGUAAACCUCUUUCAGCAGGGAAGAAGCGAAAGUGACGGUACCUGCAGAAGAAGCGCCGGCUAACUACGUGCCAGCAGCCGCGGUAAUACGUAGGGCGCAAGCGUUGUCCGGAAUUAUUGGGCGUAAAGAGCUCGUAGGCGGCUUGUCACGUCGGUUGUGAAAGCCCGGGGCUUAACCCCGGGUCUGCAGUCGAUACGGGCAGGCUAGAGUGUGGUAGGGGAGAUCGGAAUUCCUGGUGUAGCGGUGAAAUGCGCAGAUAUCAGGAGGAACACCGGUGGCGAAGGCGGAUCUCUGGGCCAUUACUGACGCUGAGGAGCGAAAGCGUGGGGAGCGAACAGGAUUAGAUACCCUGGUAGUCCACGCCGUAAACGGUGGGAACUAGGUGUUGGCGACAUUCCACGUCGUCGGUGCCGCAGCUAACGCAUUAAGUUCCCCGCCUGG